GGGAACUAACUAACUAAAAGGGUUCUUCAAAGGGUUAUCCUAUGGGGACAGCAGAAGGACACUUUUAGGUUAUAGGUAGCACCUUUCUUUCUAAGUGUGUACUGCUGAUAAAAUAACUCUGGCUCAAAAUGUGUCCUCACCAAACAUUGUAUUUCCCUCCCUGGUGUUUACAGUUGAAGGUCAAUUCAGAGUGAUGAAUGGGACCAGCUCCUGUGCUGGAGGAGCACAGGGGUUUUUAUUUGGACACUGGAGGUCUGUAUGUGGCAAUUAUUGGGCCAUGUAAGAUGCUAACAUUGUGUGUAGAAAGAUGGGCUGUGGGAAUGUUGUAGCUGCACUUGGCAUACCUCAUUUUGGAGAGGGAAUGGAAGGAUACCAAAUAGGAUUUAUUGCUUGCUCACCACUGGAUUCUACUCUUGAGAAGUGUGACUUCGCCUUUACUGCAGGCGAUGGUUGUCGUAAUUAUGCUAAUGUAUCCGUUCAGGUAAGAUUGAUAGGGAUUGUGUCGAACUAUAUUACAAUCUUUUAUCCAAUACAUAGCUGGUAGCAUCAACAAAACUGAUUGGAUAUUGAACCAUCUUUUGUUCAGAGUCUGUGAGGUUUGUGGAUGGAGCUGGUUUGUGCUCUGGGAGAGUGGAGGUGAAGUCCAAUCAGUCCUGGGUCUCAGUGUGUGAAGCUGACUUUGACUGGCAUAAUGCAGAGGUAGUCUGUCGGGAGCUUGACUGUGGGGCUCCUUCAAUUCUGCAGGGGGGGGCUCUAUAGAGUUUACAAUUGACUCAUUCAUCCCCCUCCUCUCCCCUGUAACUAUUCCCCAGGUCGUUGCUGCAAAUGAGAACGUGUUCUCAGUCAACUUACCUGGUAAAAUAACGGAUAAAUAGAGAAGCUAAGGGUAAAGGCAAUCAGUCUCUUUUUCUGGACUGUGACACCUCAGUGAGAAAAAGUCAAACCUGCUUACCUGGUAAUGCUGUUGGACUCACCUGCUCAGAUGACUCCCACCAAGGGAACUACAGCUGUGUUUAUGAGAUUUAUGUUUUUUCUCAUAAUUUCUCCUCCGAGAGUGAUCUCAUCUCCCUCACUGUCACAGCCUCUCCUCGGACGGCUUUCAUCAUCAGACUGGUUGUAGUACUUCAGAUGUCACUGACAGCCAACACUGCCAUCUAUCUGUACAUCAAGACCACCAGGAGGCGAGGGGAAGGGGUGAAUUUGGAGAUGGUUUCUCUGAGGACCAGAGCUGAAACCGGACCUGGAGAGAGCAGCCCAGGUGACAGACUAGGGUGAAGUUGACUGAAAAGUCUAAGUGUGGUCCAUGGGACAUCCAACUCUGACCUCACCCCAUUGAAGUUGAAAUGUAAAAUGUUUGAAAUGCAGUUGAAGUCAUUUCAAAUGUAUAAAGGUUAGGGUUAAGGUUAGGAUAAUGGUUAGGGUAGGGUAAGCGUCCCAAGAUUCCCCGAUAGCACGAACUAAAGUUGACCGUAGAGACGCUGAACUUAGGUCCGUUUUUUGUUUUCCAGAUACCAUGGGACUGGUGUAGACCUGAUGGGAUUUUAAUCCAAACCCAAUUAAAUGAAAUGAGUGUUAAGUUUCUAUUGGUUGUGCUAUGGCUGCACUUCCUUGCUCUUUAUUUUAUUAUUAUCAUCAUGUUUUAACGGCGUUAUGUGAUUCUUCUCAUGUUAUUUCAUAAACAAAUGCUCACUACAGUACUAUUAUUGUUUGCCUAGAGAGUGCUAUUGGUGCAAUGUAGAAUAACACAUUUCAUAAAUAAAGGUUUUGUGU
This is a non-coding RNA of Oncorhynchus mykiss (rainbow trout), 1770 nucleotides long. NCBI's taxonomy places the organism in Eukaryota, Metazoa, Chordata, Actinopteri, Salmoniformes, Salmonidae. The record is from RefSeq and is a predicted model, not a curated record.